Molecule: ribosomal RNA, 710 nt
Filed under: Citrobacter freundii
Lineage: Bacteria; Pseudomonadati; Pseudomonadota; Gammaproteobacteria; Enterobacterales; Enterobacteriaceae
Description: partial 23S ribosomal RNA
Rfam family: Bacterial large subunit ribosomal RNA
Source: RNAcentral
ACUGUUUCGGCUAGGGGGUCAUCCCGACUUACCAACCCGAUGCAAACUGCGAAUACCGAAGAAUGUUAUCACGGGAGACACACGGCGGGUGCUAACGUCCGUCGUGAAGAGGGAAACAACCCAGACCGCCAGCUAAGGUCCCAAAGUCAUGGUUAAGUGGGAAACGAUGUGGGAAGGCACAGACAGCCAGGAUGUUGGCUUAGAAGCAGCCAUCAUUUAAAGAAAGCGUAAUAGCUCACUGGUCGAGUCGGCCUGCGCGGAAGAUGUAACGGGGCUAAACCAUGCACCGAAGCUGCGGCAGCGACACUAUGUGUUGUUGGGUAGGGGAGCGUUCUGUAAGCCGUUGAAGGUGUAUCGUGAGGUAUGCUGGAGGUAUCAGAAGUGCGAAUGCUGACAUAAGUAACGAUAAUGCGGGUGAAAAACCCGCACGCCGGAAGACCAAGGGUUCCUGUCCAACGUUAAUCGGGGCAGGGUGAGUCGACCCCUAAGGCGAGGCCGAAAGGCGUAGUCGAUGGGAAACAGGUUAAUAUUCCUGUACUUGGUGUUACUGCGAAGGGGGGACGGAGAAGGCUAUGUUAGCCGGGCGACGGUUGUCCCGGUUUAAGCAUGUAGGCGGAGGUUCCAGGUAAAUCCGGUACCUUUUUAACGCUGAGGUGUGAUGACGAGGCACUACGGUGCUGAAGUAACAAAUGCCCUGCUUCCAGGAAAAG